GCGGGCCCACUCGAUGUGAGCCGGCAACUCGCUCGUCGUGCUGCAGCCGGCGGUGCCGUCUCCUGACGGGGGCCGAACGCUGCCCGGCGCCAGGCCCCGCCAAUUAGGCUUCGAUCUGGCGGCGGCGGCGGCGGGCUGAGCGCGCGCCCGCACCGGCUUGUCGGGUUACGUCAGAGCGAGGCAGCUGAGGAGUUGCAGUCUGAGCCGCAGGGUAGAGCAGAGCGCAGGCUGAGAGGCGCUGCAACAAUAAAACCACGGGAAUUGGGCGAAAUCUGCAGUAACUGCAACAGAAUAAUGCAGCGCACGAAAGGGUAGAAGGUAUCCACAAAAGAAAGAAAUACAAUAGAACUGGUCCAUACAAUACCAUCAAGCUUCCGGUGUGUGAAAUAAAAGAACAGAUUGUGCAAAUAAAAAGUAAACAAAUAAUAUUAACUGCAGAAUCCCUGAAGAGUUCAAAUCUGGUCAUCUAUGACUGCAACACUGCACCACAGAUUGACAAGAGAAGCACAAAUAUGGAAGCUGCAUCUAAUGUCGUCAGACUUGGGAAGGAUCUUCAAUUUCACCAUUGCAAUUAGGAUCUUUUUCUUAAAAGAUAAAAUAUAUUUUGAUGCUUCCUCUGAGAACAAUAAAAGAACAAUAGUUCCAUGAAAAUGGUGCAGAAUAUCUUACUGCCCUGUUGCUGUUGUGUGUAUAGUUGCCAUACCCUUCCUCACUACUUUAUGCUGGAAUCUGCAAAGGGGAGAUAGGCAGUUUUAGUAUGCAAAUUAACUGAUGUAUCUAUUUUCAGUCUGAAUUGAGCAUUCAUUGCCCAGUAUCAGUUUGUAAUCUGUUCAAAGAAGAACUCGAAACAUAAGUAUCAAGAUUGUUCUGCAAGUUUAAGAUACAUAGUUCUUCCAUAUUCCACAAAAUCGGCCAGUGCUGGAAAGCAAUCCCUUUCUGGACAGCUUCAAAAGACUCAUCAUUCAUUUUGCCUUCAGUUAAUGAGGUACAGCCCACACUGGAUCAUCCAGGUUUCCCAGUUAACAAAAUUCUUUCUUUUUUCAGUAUUGAAAUCUUGUUGCUGUUUAAUUUUUAGUAGUGCCUUAGAUUUACUUGUAUAGUCUUAGAAACCUUGUAUACUUGAGAGAAAUUUUGAUCAUCUGCCUUCAGGAAAGAUGUAAACAAGGUUGAAAGAAUACAGAGAAAAUUUUCAAGGAUAUUGCAGGUAUGAAGAACCAGAGUUAUUGGGAAAGAUUGAAUAGGUUAGGACUGUAUACUUUAGAUCAUAGAAGAUUGAGAGGAGAUUUGAUAGAGGUAUACAAAAUUAUGAGGGGUAAAUGCAAGCAGGCUUUUUCUACUGAGGUUGGGUGGGACUACAACCAGAGGCUAUGGGUUAAGGGUGAAAGGUGAGAAGUUUAAGGGGAACAUGAGGGGAAACUAAUUCACUGAGGGUCAUGAAAGUGUGGAAUGAGCAGCCAGCACAAGUGGUGCAUGCAAGUUCGAUAUCAACAUUUUAGAGAAGUGUGGAUAGAUAGAGGUCUAUGAUCCUGGUGCAGGUUGAUGGGAGUAGACAGUCUAAAUGGUUUGGUAUGAACUAGAUUGGUGGAAAGGCCUGUUUAUGACUCUAUAAUUUGCUUUUAGACAACUUUCAAGGCUGUACUGCCAAUACCACUCUAGUCUUAGCUGUAAAUCAAUUGAUUGCAUUUGUACAUGGAAAAUUGCUGGUUUAUGACAUCAUAAUCUAUAUAAUUGCCCACUGAAACAUAUUUCCUCAUCAAAUUUUGGACCCAUGACCUAAAGCAUCUAUUAAAUACAUCUUCCCUUCCCUUGCAUUAGCAGCAUUCUUCAAAAACCACUUGGCCCAGAACUCUCUGGCUCUAGCUUCAAUCUCUCUCAAUAAAGGUUCAGUUUUCCUCAUUCUAAUUUUAGGUAUUUUUAAUCUCCUGGCCAGUUGCACCACCAUCUGUUAUGGGAACUGCAAAAUAUCUGACAGCAAGUCCCUAUAAAGGAUUGCAGGGACUGCUGAGAGGAACAUUGAGAUCUCUUUCCCACCCAUCAGAGAUAUUUAUCAGGAGUGUUGUGCAUGCGGGGCCCUCAGCAUCAUCAGUGAUCCCUUCCAUCCAUCCAAUGAUUUCUUUCACCCCCUGCCAUCAGGCAGGAGGUACCGUAGCAUUAGGACAAGGACUGUCAGAGCAGGGAACAGCUUCUUCCCGGCUGCGAGACUACUGAACUCCCUGCCACCACCCAGGAUCAUCACACAUGUUUUCAGAGUGCUAUAUGGUUUAUUUACAACUUGUGUCCAAAUCUCCACAAACUCCUAAUGAAAGACAACCACUGGUAUGCUUUCAUCAUGAUUGUUUCGAUAUGGUGGACUCAUGAUAGAUCCUCUGACAUGUUGACAUUCAGGAACUUGAAACUACUCACACUUUCUACCACUGACCCCUCAAUAGAAUUGGUGUGUGUUUUCUUGAUUUCCCCUUCCUGGAGUCUAAUUCCCUGGUCUUGCUGAGGUUGAGUGCAAGGUUGUUGUUGUAAUAGCACUUGACCCAGCUGAUCUAUUUUGCUCCUGUAUGCCUCUUUAUAGCCACCUGAGAUGUUGCCAACAACAGUGGUAUCAGUGACAUUUUUUUUGAGUUUUCAAAUGAUUACAGAAAGAAGAAAAAAACAUUAUCAACCCCUCCCCCCUAACAUAUCCCUACGGAAAGAAAGAAAAAGAAAGAGAAGAAGAAAGAAAGAAAGAAAGAAAAUGCCUGGAUAUCGGAAGAUCCCCACAUGCUCCACGGAGUUCAUAAUAGCUUUAGUAUAUAUAUUUAUUUCUUUCCCCAAAUAACCAUUAAUUUUAUCUUCGGAGCACCUAUAUAUUUAAUCCUGUCUUUUGUAAAUAAGAGUGCCAAUUUUUCAGAAAUGUUUCAUAUUUAUCUCUUAAAUUAUAAGUAAUUUUUUCAAGUGGAAUACAGCUGAAAAUUUCGUUCUUCCAACAAUCUAUACUUAAGUAUGAAUCCGAUUUCCAAGUAACUGCAAUAGCCUUUUUGGCUACUGCCAAUGCAAUUUUUAUGAAUUCUUUCUGAUAUUUAUUCAAUUUGGGUUUCGGUUUUAUCCCUUCAAUAUCACCUAAUAAAAAUAAUAUUGGGUUAUGUGGAA
This is a long non-coding RNA of Hypanus sabinus (Atlantic stingray), 3120 nucleotides long. RefSeq lists it as uncharacterized. Lineage: Eukaryota; Metazoa; Chordata; Chondrichthyes; Myliobatiformes; Dasyatidae. The record is from RefSeq and is a predicted model, not a curated record. The transcript has 3 exons.